UACGUAGGUGACCAGCGUUGUCCGGAUUUACUGGGCGUAAAGAGCGCGCAGGCGGUCGUUCAAGUCGAGUGUGAAAGCCCCCAGCUCAACUGGGGAGGGUCACUCGAUACUGAUCGACUUGAAGGCAGGAGAGGGAAGCGGAAUUCCCGGUGUAGUGGUGAAAUGCGCAGAUAUCAGGAGGAACACCGGUGGCGAAGGCGGGACUCUGGGCCGAUACUGACGCUGAGGAGCGAAAGCGUGGGGAGCAAACAGG
Molecule: ribosomal RNA, 253 nt
Filed under: uncultured bacterium
Lineage: Bacteria
Description: partial 16S ribosomal RNA
Rfam family: Bacterial small subunit ribosomal RNA
Source: RNAcentral